GGAAUCCAAAGAUUACAAUUUUAAAUUUUAAAGUGGGAAAAAGGGACUAAGUGAAUAACCAAAGAGAGAAAUAGACCAGUUGAGUUGAGUCAUAACUCAUAAACAGUUGACCACAGCUUCACUCGGCACAAUAGAGUGACGCGAAAAUGAGAAGCUUUCCAAGAACCUACUAUUUAAACUAGAUUCAAUUUUCUUCUCUUUGAAUCAAAAACAUCUAUUUCCCAAUAUCCCAAAAAAAAACUUUUGCAGAUCGGUGUGGAAAACAAAGAAUGAACGCAGGUUCUUUGGUUGCGGACUCGGUGUGGAAAACCAUUGAGUCAACUCUUUCAGGUCCUUUCUUUCUUAAAGUUUUCUUUUUUCCCUUAUUUAUUUGAGUUUAGAGCAUCUUUAAAACCCACCGACUAUAUAAAUGAGGUUUGAUUUUGUUUUACUGGUGGCAGUGACUGAGGAUCAGCUCUCAAUGUCAGUAGUGUAUGCUUACUUCUGCUCUACAAUUUGUUUAGAUGCGUAUGUGGGUAUUGAUAUUUUCCAGUUUUUUGAUCUCUUUUUGUUAAUUGUAGCUUGCAUUUCUUGUUUGGUAAAAACUUUGAGAGAGCCACUAGGAUAGUGGAUCAAAGAGGUGUCAAGAGGAUCUCUGGUGAGCCCAGUGGUCGUUCCAUCUUUCAGGUUAAAUCUACUCUUUGCUCUGUAUUAUGUUGUAUUCACACUUAUUACUUGUAUAGGGAUUUUACAGUUUGAAUUUAGGGCCUAAUUUGUGUUUGAAAAUGCAAUUUGAACUGAAUUGGGUUUAAUUUGAGAGAAAAUGGGUGGUAAUGAGUUUUGAAUGUCCAGCUUAGUAGGGAUGUUUGACUAACAAAUAUUUGGAGAGCUAGAAUGUUUUGGCGUUUGCUAAAAUAUUAAAGAGGAAUGCUCAAGAAAUUUAGAUGAUAUUUAGCUGUAUUAAAGAGGAAUUCUCAAGAAAUUUAGAUGCUUUUUAGCCAAAUGGCAAGAGGUUUGAGGGUUAGGAGCUGCAAAAAUUUUCCAUAAAUUUGGUAGAUGAAACUCUAGUUGGAUAAUGAUAUCAAUGUGACCAAAGUUAGUUUCAGAAUUAUUCAAAAGAUGGCAAUAAAGAGUUUAACAUUGAAUUGUUAACGAACAUUUUCAGUAAGUGGAUUUCUUGUUUAUAUUGUGUGGUUAGGUGGUGGGGGAAUCACAGAGGAAGGAGGAGUACUUCUGUUUCCCUGAACAAUAUUGUGCCUGUUACUCAUUUUUUUAUGACAUUGUAAACAGAGGAGAGCAACUUUGUGUAAGAUUGUAUUCUUGCUAGUUCAUCAUUUAGUUUGUGUACACUGCUUUUCUCUAAUGCUCUAGUGAUUAUUUCUUCUUUUUCCCCACUUUUUAAUCUCUCCUAGUGUAAGCAUCAAUUAGCUGCAAGGCUUGCUGCAGCAUUGGGAACCUGUGUCAACGUUAGUGUGUCUGAUGAGCAACUAGCACUAUUGCUUGUGAAACUUUAACAGCAUAGAUGGAAGAUGAAUUUAGACUCAGAAGAUGAGGGGGUAUGCUCCAAGAAAAUCACUCUGAGAUAUAAUAUAACUGCUUUAAGAAUAUGAAAUUUUGCAUCCUCACUUAGAUUGGAAAUUACAGUGUAUUGUAUUUGUACUGUUGCAUAAUAACAGCCAUAGUAACCAUGCAGUUCUAUAAAAUUUAAAUAGUGCUAUUUUUUCCCCUUCCACAAGCAUGGAAGCAUUAGCAAGCAGAGAGCUAGAGCUCAUGCCCUGCCUGGUUCUGUUUAAUUUUCAUUAUCUGAUGAUAUCUUCUUGUUUGGUUAAUCAUGGUAUAAUGAAUAAUUUCUGGAGACUAUAGCAACUCUGAAGGUUUUCUGUUUAAAUGGUUUUUUAGGUCCCUCUUACUGUAAGUGAAAUAUACAUAAAAAUUUAAUGGGUAGAUUGUUUUUCAGUAGGUUUGAGGAUUAUAAGAGAUUAUUCUAUAUUUUCCUUCUAGAUUUGGGUCAAAUGAUUUAGAACUCAAAGGAAAAUAUCAAAAUGGUGAAGUGGAUGAACUGCAUCCUUACUAUCGAAGCAACACUCUGAACAGGAUAGAGAACAUCAACAGGGAAAUGCAUUACCUUGUGCUAGUAUAACCACUAUAAACUAGAAUAAAAGGAGGGGGAGAGAAA
Molecule: unclassified non-coding RNA, 2155 nt
Filed under: Hevea brasiliensis (rubber tree)
Lineage: Eukaryota; Viridiplantae; Streptophyta; Magnoliopsida; Malpighiales; Euphorbiaceae
Source: RNAcentral